Molecule: unclassified non-coding RNA, 306 nt
Filed under: uncultured fungus
Lineage: Eukaryota; Fungi
Description: sequence contains ITS1
Rfam family: 5.8S ribosomal RNA (bases 1-105)
Source: RNAcentral
GAACUGCGAUAAGCAAUGCGAAUUGCAGGACCCGCGAGUCAUCAGAUCUUUGAACGCACUAAGCGCCGAGGGGGAAAUCCCCUCGGCAUGUUUGCUUCAGUGUUGAAACCAUCACCACCCAAGUGCGAUUGAAUGCCGCGCAUUCUCUCGUCAAAGAGGAACGCCUUGCGUUCGUACCCAAUGAAGUAGUCACUGCUGCUCCGCAGUCUAGUGAUUUCAUCGGCACUGCGGACGAGAAGGCGUAGAGCUUAGCGUCUUUAGAAAUAACUAAAACCUGAAGUAAGCAAGACUACCCGCUGAACUUAA